This 313-nucleotide ribosomal RNA is filed under the name uncultured delta proteobacterium. RNAcentral's name for it is "bacterial SSU rRNA". It matches the Rfam family "Bacterial small subunit ribosomal RNA", at positions 536 to 847 of the family's 1533-position model. The record is from RNAcentral. Lineage: Bacteria; Deltaproteobacteria.
AAGCGUUGUUCGGAUUUAUUGGGCGUAAAGCGCGUGUAGGCGGUUUUUUAAGUCUGAUGUGAAAGCCCUGGGCUCAACCCAGGAAGUGCAUUGGAUACUGGAAGACUUGAAUACGGGAGAGGGUAGUGGAAUUCCUAGUGUAGGAGUGAAAUCCGUAGAUAUUAGGAGGAACACCGGUGGCGAAGGCGGCUACCUGGACCGAUAUUGACGCUGAGACGCGAAAGCGUGGGGAGCAAACAGGAUUAGAUACCCUGGUAGUCCACGCCGUAAACGAUGAGWACUAGGUGUUGCGGGUAUUGACCCCUGCAGUGCC